RNAcentral lists this ribosomal RNA (1242 nucleotides) under metagenome. RNAcentral describes it as "bacterial LSU rRNA". It matches the Rfam family "Bacterial large subunit ribosomal RNA", at positions 1564 to 2816 of the family's 2925-position model. The record is from RNAcentral.
UGAAUACGAGACGCUAAGGCGUUGAAGUAGUGUAUGUCAUACUUCCAAGAAAAGCUUGCACUGUCAUAGAUAAAAAACGCCUGUACCAUAACCGACACAGGUGGGUAGGUAGAGUAUACUAAGGGGCGCGAGAUAACUCUCUCUAAGGAACUCGGCAAAAUAACUCCGUAACUUCGGGAGAAGGAGUGCCUUAUUUAUAAGGCUGCAAUAACAAGAUCCAAGCAACUGUUUAUCAAAAACACAGGUCUCCGCUAAGUCGUAAGACGAUGUAUGGGGGCUGACGCCUGCCCAGUGCCAGAAGGAUAAAGAAGUUGGUUAGCAAUAGCGAAGCUGAUAACUGAAGCCCUGGUGAACGGCGGCCGUAACAAUAACGGUCCUAAGGUAGCGAAAUUCCUUGUCGGGUAAGUUCCGACCCGCACGAAAGGCGUAAUGAUUUGGAUACUGUCUCGGAGAGGGGCUCGGUGAAAUAGACUUGUCUGUGAAGAUGCGGACUACCUGCACCAGGACAGAAAGACCCUAUGAAGCUUUACUGUAACUUGAAAUUGAAAUUGGACUUUAUUCGCGCAGUAUAGGUGGGAGGCGUUGAUUGUAAUCUUGCGGGAUUAUUGGAGCCAUCAGUGAGAUACCACCCUUGUAAUGUUAGAUUUCUAACUUUGAAUCAUUAUCUGGUCAAAGAACAGUUUCAGGCGGGCAGCUUGACUGGGGCGGUCGCCUCCUAAACGGUAACGGGGGCGUACAAAGGUUUCCUCUGAACGGUUAGAAAUCGUAUCUAGAGUGUAAAGGCAUAAGGAAGCUUGACUGUGAGACCUACAAGUCGAGCAGGGACGAAAGUCGGUCUUAGUGAUCUGACGGUACUGAGUGGAAAGGCCGUCACUCAACGGAUAAAAGUUACUCUAGGAUAACAGGCUGAUCUCCCCCAAGAGUUCACAUCGACGGGGAGGUUUGGCACCUUGAUGUCGGCUCAUCGCAUCCUGGGGCGGUAGUACGUCCCAAGGGUUGGGCUGUUCGCCCAUGAAAGCGGUACGCGAGCUGGGUUCAGAACGUCGUGAGACAGUUCGGUCCAUAUCCGGUGUAGGCGUUAGAAUAUUGAGAGGAGCCUUCUUUAGUACGAGAGGACCGAGAAGGACAUACCUCUGGUGUACCAGUUAUCGUGCCAACGGUAAACGCUGGGUAGCUAUGUAUGGAGUGGAUAACCGCUGAAAGCAUCUAAGUGGGAAGCCCACCUCAAGAUAAGUAUUCUCA